GGUCCGUUAGCUUAGCCGGCAGAGCGUGGUGCUGAUAACGCCAAGGUCGUAAGUUUGACCCUUACACGGACCA
This 73-nucleotide transfer RNA is filed under the name Orbicella faveolata. RNAcentral describes it as "tRNA-Ile". It matches the Rfam family "tRNA". From Rfam's summary of the family: Transfer RNA (tRNA) molecules are approximately 80 nucleotides in length. Their secondary structure includes four short double-helical elements and three loops (D, anti-codon, and T loops). Lineage: Eukaryota; Metazoa; Cnidaria; Anthozoa; Scleractinia; Merulinidae. The record is from RNAcentral.